AAAUGAGGUAAAAACCCACGAAAAUGAGGUGGAAAAGCAGCAGGAAUUGGUGGGAAAAUGUUGGGAUGGGGAAAAAAAAAUGAAAAUGAGAUGGAAAAGCAACGGGAUGAGGGGGAAAAUUCCAAAAUUGUGUAAAAAUCUGAGGGGGUAAGGGCCAAAAUACCAAAAUUUGGUGGGAAAAUACCAAAAUGAGGUGGAAAAAUACAAAGAUUAGGUGGAAAAGCAAUGGAAUAAAGCCCAAAAUAGUAAAAUGAAGUUGAAAACCUGCCAGAAUGAGGGGAAAAUACUUGGAUAAGGGAAAAAGCUCCGGAAUUUAGUUGGAAAAAUCGGAAUGAGAGGGAAAAAUAAUGGGAUGAGGGGAAAAAUAUCAAAAUUAAUUGGAAAAUCAGUGGGAUAAAGGGGGAAAAUAAAAAAUUGAGGCUGGAAAUCAGCAGGGUGAGGGGGAAAAUUCUGGGAAAAGGUGGGAAAAAGUGGAAAAAAACCUGGAAUGAGGUGGGAAAUCACGGAGAGGAGGUGGGAAUGGAGGAAAUGGUGGAGGAUCCGUGCAUGGGGUGAGGAUCCGGAGCGAUCCCGAGGGAAAUCCCGACCGGGCACGACCAACUCGGGAUUUGGGAUGGGAUCCGUUUAUUCCCAACGGAAGCAGAGCAGCAGAAAAAGAGCCCAAAUCCAACUUUUCCCUCCCCCGAUUCCCUCGUUCCUGCUUUUCCCAGGGGAGUUCUCCAUGGAUUUCUCCGAGGUGAAUCCGUCCCACCCCGAGUUUUCCAUGGAUUUCUCCAUGAAUCCAUCCCACCGCGAGUUUUCCAUGGAUUUCUCGGCGAUGGGAAAGUUUUCCAUGGAUUUCUCCGGGGUGAAUCCAUCCCCCGGCAGGAGUUUCCCGUGGAUUUUUCCAAAGGGUCAAACCUUUGGGAAUAUCCUGCUCCCUGGGAUUCCUCCCGGGAAUCUGCUCCUUUUUCCAUGGAUCCGCAGCUCCUUGCCGAGGUCCGGCUUCCCGGAAACAGCCGCGGGUGGGGGGUGGAGAGACGUGGAAUGGUGGGACCGGGGAGUUCUGGAAUGGCUGAGGUUGGAAAGAUCUCCAAGAACAUCAAGGUCAAGGUUGGAAAGUCAUGGAAUGAUGGGAACAUGGAGCUGUGGAAUCCAAUGUUGGAAUCAUGGAAACAUGAAAACAUGGAGGGAAACAUCAAAAAUGGGCAGGAACCAUCCAAAAUGGGAUGAAACCAGGAAAAAUGAGAAGGAACCACCAAAAAUGGGAAGGAACCAUCAGAAAUGGGAAGGAGCCAUCAAAGACAGGAGGAAACCAUGAAAGAUGGGGAGAAACCAUCGAAGACAGGAGGAAACCAUCGGAAACGAGAAGGAACCAUCAAAAAUGGGAAGAAACCUUCAAGAAGAGGAGGAAACCAGGAAAAAUGGGAGGAAACCAUCA
RNAcentral lists this long non-coding RNA (1420 nucleotides) under Chloebia gouldiae (Gouldian finch). Its description in RNAcentral is "Erythrura gouldiae (Gouldian finch) lncRNA (ENSEGOG00005010088.1)". Lineage: Eukaryota; Metazoa; Chordata; Aves; Passeriformes; Passeridae. The record is from RNAcentral.